Molecule: ribosomal RNA, 160 nt
Filed under: Hyaloscyphaceae sp.
Lineage: Eukaryota; Fungi; Ascomycota; Leotiomycetes; Helotiales; Hyaloscyphaceae
Description: partial small subunit ribosomal RNA
Rfam family: Eukaryotic large subunit ribosomal RNA
Source: RNAcentral
CUGGCUCUGUCAGGGUCCGAGUUGUAAUUUGUAGAAGAUGCUUCGGGUGUGGCUCCGGUCUAAGUUCCUUGGAACAGGACGUCAUAGAGGGUGAGAAUCCCGUAUGUGACUGGCUGCCUUCGCCUAUGUGAAGCUCUUUCGACGAGUCGAGUUGUUUGGG